Molecule: long non-coding RNA, 259 nt
Filed under: Ananas comosus (pineapple)
Lineage: Eukaryota; Viridiplantae; Streptophyta; Magnoliopsida; Poales; Bromeliaceae
Description: long non-coding RNA (ACOM_LNC005960)
Source: RNAcentral
AAUGAACCGGCUUCGCCGUAAGUGUUUCUAAGACGAGUGGUCAUUCAUGGUAGAGAUCAAAUUUAUUUAGAUUUUAUUUUUGAAAUCAGGAUUAUAGAUUCAUGGCUUUCAACAGACUCAAGAAUUUGCUGUUAAUUAUCCCAUACUUUCGGUGUUAAGAAACCUUCGAUUAAGAGAUCAAAUAUAAAUGCUGAUGAUAAAAGACACCGUAGUAUAAAGAUGAACUUGAAUUGAUAUAAUUUUCAAGUAUAUGGCUUAA